Molecule: unclassified non-coding RNA, 1503 nt
Filed under: uncultured fungus
Lineage: Eukaryota; Fungi
Description: sequence contains 18S rRNA gene, ITS1, 5.8S rRNA gene, ITS2, 28S rRNA gene
Rfam family: Eukaryotic large subunit ribosomal RNA (bases 576-1503)
Source: RNAcentral
GGUUGGAUCAUUACAAAAUGAUGGUUUUUUAAGCUUGAGCUGCUUAACAGUGGCUCGCUUAAAAACUUAUUCACCCUUGUGCAUCGUAAUGUUUUUUGGGUCGGUUUAACGACUUGCCCAACAUUUUUUAAACACUUUAUAAUUUGACUGAAUUUUUUUUGAAAAUUAAAAAAAUAACGACUUUUGACAACGGAUCUCUUGGCUCUCGCAACGAUGAAGAACGCAGCGAAAUGCGAUACGUAAUGUGAAUUGCAGAAUUCCGUGAAUCAUCGAAUCUUUGAACGCACAUUGCACUCUAUUUCGGUAGAGUAUGCCUGUUUGAGAAUCUAUAGUAUUUAUUUUGCCUUUAUGCUUUUUAGGAAGCAUUUUGAACAAAGAAGUGCUGCUCGACUAAUAAUCUUCAGCGAAUCUGAUUAGCUGGAACUUUUCUCAUAGUGUUUGACUUUUUGCAAAGGAUCAGAAAUGUAUUUGAAUGGGCUUAUGCUCUUAUGAUUACAUAUUAUGAUUUCGCAAAGAUUAGCUUGAUUAAUUUUACAGAUUAUAUCUCAUAAAAGCCUUUAAAAAGCUUUGAACCAUGGUCUCAAAUCAGGUAGGAAUACCCGCUGAACUUAAGCAUAUCAAUAAGCGGAGGAAAAGAAACUAACAAGGAUUCCCCUAGUAACGGCGAGUGAAGCGGGAACAGCUCAAAUUUGAAAUCUCACUUAGGUGCGAAUUGUAGUUUAGAGAAACGUUUUCGGUCUUGACAUUGGGUACAAGUCCAUUGGAACAUGGCAUCACAGAGGGUGAAAAUCCCGUCUAUGAUCCAGUGCUCAAGGCCAUAUGAUACGUUUUCCAAGAGUCGGUUUGUUUGGGAAUGCAGACCAAAAUGGGAGGUAAAUACCUUCUAAAGCUAAAUAUUGGCGAGAGACCGAUAGCGAACAAGUACCGUGAGGGAAAGAUGAAAAGAACUUUGAAAAGAGAGUUAAACAGUACGUGAAAUUGUCAAAAGGGAAACGCUUGAAACCAGUAUUGCUUGCUAGAUUUAGCUGUCAUUUAUGGCAGUGUCCUUUCUAGUUUGCAAGUCAACAUCAGUUUGGCCUGGUGUAAAAAGCUCGAGAAAGGUAGCCUUCGGGUAUUAUAGUCUCGAGUCAUGCAUUGGGCUGGACUGAGGUCUGCAGCUUUUGCUUAGGAUGUUGACGAAAUGGUUUUAAACGACCCGUCUUGAAACACGGACCAAGGAGUCUAACAUAUAUGCGAGUAUUUGGGUGGCAAACCCUUUUGCGUAAUGAAAGUGAAAAGGUGGGAUCUCUUUGAGUGCACCAUCGACCGCGCCAGAUUAUUACUAUCUCGGCGUGAGUAUGAGCAUACAUGUUGGGACCCGAAAGAUGGUGAACUAUACCUGAAUAGGGUGAAGCCAGAGGAAACUCUGGUGGAGGCUCGUAGCGGUUCUGACGUGCAAAUCGAUCGUCAAAUUUGGGUAUAGGGGCGAAAGACUAAUCGAACCAUCUAGUAGCUGGUUCCCUC